GUGAGGGUGAAGAAAGUGGAGCGGAUCCACGCUUACAACGUCGUGUCCCGGCCGUCGGCGGUGUACCGGGCCACCUCGCCGCCGCCGGCUGCGGAGAACCUGGCCGUCAGCGUUGUCCGGGUGGGCGAUGUAGUGGCGGAAGACGAGGCGGUGCGGGUGAGGAAAGUGGAGCGGAUCCACGCCUACAACGUCGUCUCCCGGCCGUCGUCGGUGUACCGGGCCGCAUCGCCGGCAGCCACGGCGGAGAACCUGGCCGUCAGCGUUGUCCGGGUGGGGGACGUCGUGGUGGAAGGCGAACACGAAAGCUUCGUCUCGGUGCCCAUCGCCUAGUAGGAACGACUGAUACUCU
Molecule: long non-coding RNA, 349 nt
Filed under: Brachypodium distachyon (stiff brome)
Lineage: Eukaryota; Viridiplantae; Streptophyta; Magnoliopsida; Poales; Poaceae
Description: long non-coding RNA (BDIS_LNC002362)
Source: RNAcentral